GACGAACGCUGGCGGCGUGCCUAACACAUGCAAGUCGAACGGGGCAGCAAUGCCCAGUGGCGAACGGGUGCGUAACACGUGAGGAACUUGUCCAUCGGCGGGGGAUAGCCAGCCCAACGGCCGGGUAAUACCGCGUACGUCGGCGAGACCGCAUGGUCUUGCCGGGAAAGCAGCAAUGCACCGAUGGAGAGCCUCGCGGCCUAUCAGCUAGUUGGUGAGGUAAUGGCUCACCAAGGCGACGACGGGUAGCUGGUCUGAGAGGAUGAUCAGCCACAUUGGGACUGAGACACGGCCCAGACUCCUACGGGAGGCAGCAGUGGGGAAUAUUGCGCAAUGGGCGAAAGCCUGACGCAGCGACGCCGCGUGUGGGAUGACGGCCUCGGUUGUAACGACUA
Molecule: ribosomal RNA, 395 nt
Filed under: uncultured bacterium
Lineage: Bacteria
Description: bacterial SSU rRNA
Rfam family: Bacterial small subunit ribosomal RNA
Source: RNAcentral